Molecule: long non-coding RNA, 1150 nt
Organism: Salmo salar (Atlantic salmon)
Lineage: Eukaryota; Metazoa; Chordata; Actinopteri; Salmoniformes; Salmonidae
Source: RefSeq, a predicted model, not a curated record
AAUAAUCCAGGAGACGGAGCGGGCAGCGGAGGUGAGUUGGUGAGAGUGAAUAGGCAGAUCCAAUGUCACAGAAGCCACCGACGACCAGGCAGGGGUGGGGUGAAUGUUCCGGGAGAAUGAUUAUAGACAGAGGAAACGGAGGUGAGUACACGGCAAGCAAAAAGUACAGAACAACAAAACGAACUCUAGUAAACAUGAGGCUGACACAACAUACUGUUCAUUGCUAAUGAUCCGGCAGGGAAUGGAUGUCAGGUCAGAGCUUAUGAAGAGAAGAGGUGAUGAUCAGGACCAGGUGUGCAGAUAGCUGAUGAGAUGCAGGUGCGGGUAAUCGAGAGAUCUCCCGCCUAGCUUCGUCGCCUAGCAACCAGACAGGGUGCGUUCAGGAACCUCAGGAAACACACUCCAAAACAGAAAACAGGCAACUCAGGCAGAAAACAGACUCAGGAAGCGGGAUUCAUGACACCUUCUGACAAAGAUCUGCCAACCUGCUCAGUGGGUGACAGGUAACUGUCUUUCCAUCAAGCUGUUCCAGGCCUGGAGUGGCACACUGGAACUUCCAGAGGCUUGUAGACCUGAAGCAGUGUGAUGUGGUCCAGAUCUGACACCCCUAUUAGCUCAACCACAGUCUUCACAGCUGCAGUUUGCCGCUGUAUCUGCUACACUGGUCACGACAGGUGAUACAGAUAUGCCACCCCCUAAUGUGGUAUUUAAUUUACCGGCUGCACCAGUUCCUACUACACUGGCCGUGAAGGGAGACACUUUUGAGGAUACCCAGAUGGAUACAGAUCUGCCUUGCUCUCCACUACCUGACAGCCUCACCUAGAAGUGCAUACACUGGGCCUAUCAAGAUUGACAAAGCAGAGAUGGGUGGCUGACAAGGAAAAAUAAAGCAACACAUUAUCCACAAUUACAAGUUGUAAUUACUUGUUUAUUAAAUGUUUGCUCCAUUUUAUUUUAGGAUUGGCGAUAUCUACUCCUUCAUAUCCAUUCUCAGUAUCUACAUAAUUACUCUAAAUAUCUAUCAAAUCAAAGUGUGAUUGAUAAUGUUGUAAAAGACUAUGGCUUAAUGUGAACAGUUUGAGGAAAUUAUGAGUUGAAAAACAUGUCUCCCUCUCACACAUUAGACCCAAUGUAAAUAAAUUGUAAAAAC